This 498-nucleotide ribosomal RNA is filed under the name uncultured bacterium. RNAcentral describes it as "partial 16S ribosomal RNA". It matches the Rfam family "Bacterial small subunit ribosomal RNA", at positions 28 to 507 of the family's 1533-position model. The record is from RNAcentral.
GAUGAACGCUGGCGGCGUGCCUAAUACAUGCAAGUCGAACGAAAACACGAGGAGCUUGCUCUCGUCACUUUAGCGGCGGACGGGGGAGUAAAACGUGGGUAACCUUCCCAUCAGAGGGGGAUAACUUCCGGGAAACGGUGCUAAUACCCCCUAAUUCUUCGAACCGCAUGGAUCGGAAGUUAAAGGCGGCUUUCCCUUCUCUUGUAGCAUGAUCCCGGGGGGCAUAGGCUAGUUGGAGGGGUAACGGCUCACCAAGGCGACGAGGCGUAGCGGACCUGAGAGGGUGAUCGGCCACACUGGAACUGAGACACGGUCCAGACUCCUACGGGAGGCAGCAGUAGGGAAUCUUCCGCAAUGGGCGCAAGCCUGACGGAGCAACGCCGCGUGAGUGAAGAAGGUCUUCGGAUCGUAAAACUCUGUUGUUAGGGAAGAACAAAUGCGAGAGUAACUGUUAGCGUCUUGACGGUACCUAAACAGAAAGCCACGGCUAACUACGUG